CAAGAGGGAAGUGGAUUCUAUUUUUAAGCAUUGCCUGUUGCACAGCACCAAAGAGCACAAAGAGUUCAAGCAUUCAACAAAUUUAUUCUUCCUACUGCUUAUGCCUUUAAAAUCGUCAUCAUCAAGGCAUGAUAACCAUCCAUCUGCUCAAUCUGCAAUCCAAGGGCUGCAUACAAGUUUACAGGGGCAAGCUCUUCUUGCAGUCAGACCCUGCUGACACCAUUCUGCUUGCACAUAGAGAUUUACCCUUACAUGUAUAGAGCGGAGCACAAGAGCAGCACACUUCCAAGAAGCUCCAAACCUUGUGUAGUUUCUGUGGUGGGAGAAGAAAAGCACUGUUGUAUGUAAUCCUCCUCAAAUGUUAAAAGAAUCCAGCCAAAAAUGCUGGAUACUACUUGUUUAAAUGAAAUAAUUGGUCACAGAAUUAUACCCCUACUCUUCGUUUCCUAAUUACACCUCUAAAACGCAGCUUAUAUUCACAUGUAUCAAAUCAUACAAUCACAAAUACCCUCAGGCUGGAAAGGCCUCAGAGGUCACCUAGCCAAACCCCUAAUGGCAGCCAGCUCCCUCUGCUUCCUGCUGUCUGCUUUCCCCCCAGCAAGGUAGCAUGGUUACUGAAACAGCUGUGAAACUGCUAACACACCUGCUUUACCUAAAUCAUACAGAUGGGAGCUGUCAGCCCAUUACUGCCCUUAUUUUUCAGACACAGCACCUCAACAGGGGCACGCAUAUGGCUGUGCAGAGGCUGCUCACAAAAUGAUGUUGCUGCUCUGGGUGAGGGCAUACUGCUAAAUCCCCAGCUGCUUGAUGGGCUAUUUAGGAACUAUGUGGAACUGCAACCACAGCUAUCCAGACAGCUCCCGCUGCACACAUGUGACACCAUUAAACUCAUCUAGUCACAUCUACAAAGGAGCCCCUUGUCGUUCUACCACACGUUCUGAUAAAACACCUGGGUAGGAUCUCAGACCUGACUGAAAGCAAGCUGGAUCUUGGUGGAACAAGGUUUGGAAAUAGGACUCAUUUUUUUCAGAGUCAUCCAGUUAACCUAGAGAGAUGACACCUUGAGGGAAUUAUGUAUGACUUCUCUUUUUGAUGAAGCCUUUUCCAAAAAUUUUAGAGCAGCUUGUGGCAAACAUCUUCAAUGGAAUGUGGCACGUAAUUCUUAUCUUGCCAAGAAAAUAUAACCACAACUACUCAUAAAGAUUUGUUUGACUUACAGCAUUUUUCAGAGUUAUUAGCAGUGAGAUAGAUUACUAUUCUCAAUUUUGCCAGAUCACUACAUUAAUAUAGCUAAGAUUAAAACAAGAUAAGGC
Molecule: long non-coding RNA, 1313 nt
Filed under: Phasianus colchicus (ring-necked pheasant)
Lineage: Eukaryota; Metazoa; Chordata; Aves; Galliformes; Phasianidae
Description: lncRNA (ENSPCLG00000002028.1)
Source: RNAcentral